CGUGGAUCGAUUUGUCUGGUUUAUUCCGAUAACGAGCGAGACUCUAGCCUACUAAAUAGUAACAGGAUUAUCUUCACGAUUGUCCUUUUGUUGCUUCUUAGAGGGAUUUUCGGUGUUUAGCCGCACGAGAUUGAGCAAUAACAGGUCUGUGAUGCCCUUAGAUGUCCGGGGCUGCACGCGCGCUACACUGGCGAAAUCAGCGUGCUGUAUCCAUUCUCGAAAGGGAUUGGUAAACCCAUGAAAAUUUGCCGUGCUUGGGAUCGGAAAUUGCAAUUAUUUUCCGUGAACGAGGAAUUCCAAGUAAGUGCGAGUCAUCAACUCGCUCUGAAUACGUCCCUGCCCUUUGUAC
RNAcentral lists this ribosomal RNA (349 nucleotides) under Nematoda environmental sample. RNAcentral's name for it is "SSU rRNA". It matches the Rfam family "Eukaryotic small subunit ribosomal RNA", at positions 1300 to 1665 of the family's 1831-position model. The record is from RNAcentral. Lineage: Eukaryota; Metazoa; Nematoda.